CAUUAGGCAGUUGGCGGGGUAACGGCCCACCAAACCGACGAUGGAUAGGGGUUCUGAGAGGAAGGUCCCCCACAUUGGUACUGAGACACGGACCAAACUCCUACGGGAGGCAGCAGUGAGGAAUAUUGGUCAAUGGGCGUAAGCCUGAACCAGCCAAGUCGCGUGAGGGAUGAAGGUUCUAUGGAUCGUAAACCUCUUUUAUAAGGGAAUAAAGUGCGGGACGUGUCCCGUUUUGUAUGUACCUUAUGAAUAAGGAUCGGCUAACUCCGUGCCAGCAGCCGCGGUAAUACGGAGGAUCCGAGCGUUAUCCGGAUUUAUUGGGUUUAAAGGGUGCGUAGGCGGCCUUUUAAGUCAGCGGUGAAAGUCUGUGGCUCAACCAUAGAAUUGCCGUUGAAACUGGGAGGCUUGAGUAUGUUUGAGGCAGGCGGAAUGCGUGGUGUAGCGGUGAAAUGCUUAGAUAUCACGCAGAACCCCGAUUGCGAAGGCAGCCUGCCAAGCCAUGACUGACGCUGAUGCACGAAAGCGUGGGGAUCAAACAGGAUUAGAUACCCUGGUAGUCCACGCAGUAAACGAUGAUCACUAGCUGUUUGCGAUACAC
Molecule: ribosomal RNA, 598 nt
Filed under: uncultured bacterium
Lineage: Bacteria
Description: bacterial SSU rRNA
Rfam family: Bacterial small subunit ribosomal RNA
Source: RNAcentral